Molecule: ribosomal RNA, 167 nt
Filed under: Rhagoletis pomonella (apple maggot)
Lineage: Eukaryota; Metazoa; Arthropoda; Insecta; Diptera; Tephritidae
Description: partial 18S rRNA
Source: RNAcentral
AAUAGAUGCUUUCAGGAUUAUGAUGUUNUAGCUUAUAUAGCCUUCAUUCAUGCGUGCAUCUUGAAUGUACAAGUCUUUGAAUGUGUUUAUAUAAGUGGAGUCGUACCUGUUGGUUUGUCCCAUUAUAAGGACACUAGCUUUUAAAUGGACAAAUUGCGUCUAGCAGU